RNAcentral lists this ribosomal RNA (253 nucleotides) under uncultured bacterium. Its description in RNAcentral is "partial 16S ribosomal RNA". It matches the Rfam family "Bacterial small subunit ribosomal RNA", at positions 524 to 776 of the family's 1533-position model. The record is from RNAcentral.
UACGAAGGGGGCUAGCGUUGCUCGGAAUCACUGGGCGUAAAGCGCACGUAGGCGGAUCUUUAAGUCAGGGGUGAAAUCCCAAGGCUCAACCUUGGAACUGCCUUUGAUACUGGGGAUCUCGAGUCCGGAAGAGGUGAGUGGAACUGCGAGUGUAGAGGUGAAAUUCGUAGAUAUUCGCAAGAACACCAGUGGCGAAGGCGGCUCACUGGUCCGGUACUGACGCUUAGGUGCGAAAGCGUGGGGAGCAAACAGG